GACGUCAUCCAGCGUAUGCAUAAGCCCUGCUAUUGUCUUACUGCUACAGCAGGGCUGGGGAUUGCAGUAUCCGCUGUUGCUGCUGCUCCCAGUCCUGCCCCUGCUGCUACCUAGUCCAGCCUCACUGCAUCCCAGAAGAGCCACGUCGGCCUUCAUUUGCCUAGUGGAUUUUCAAAAGCUCUUCGGUUUUUGGUGCUGUUAAGAGACCUUGCAUUUCAAUCACACGGGAGAAAACUGAAGCUCGUAACAGGAGAAUCUGGCAGCUGGACACAGCUUGGACUGCAUUGUCUGGCUUCAUGACCCCUGCUGUGUAGCCGGCUCAUCUCUUCACUCUCACAUGUACACUCUCCUCGCUUUUCUUUCUUUUUUUUCCCCCUUUUCUUUCUUCUAAUUUUUAAAAAGCAGCCUCUGGAGCCAGCCAUGUUUGGCACUGAAUCUUCAUUGAGCAUGUUUUUGAACACAUUAACACCGAAGUUCUACGUGGCCCUAACAGGCACUUCCUCACUAAUAUCAGGGCUUAUUUUGAUAUUUGAAUGGUGGUAUUUUCGCAAAUAUGGAACUUCAUUCAUUGAACAAGUCUCAGUAAGCCACUUGCGCCCCCUUCUGGGAGGGGUUGACAACAACUCUUCCAACAAUUCUAAUUCCAGUAACGGGGACUCAGAUUCCAAUAGGCAAAGUGUCUCAGAAUGCAAAGUAUGGCGAAAUCCACUAAAUUUAUUUAGGGGUGCUGAAUAUAAUCGGUAUACUUGGGUGACAGGACGAGAGCCUCUUACUUACUAUGACAUGAAUCUCUCUGCCCAGGACCACCAGACAUUCUUUACUUGUGACUCGGACCAUCUGCGUCCCGCAGAUGCAAUAAUGCAGAAAGCCUGGAGAGAGAGAAACCCCCAAGCUAGGAUUUCUGCAGCUCAUGAAGCCUUGGAGAUAAAUGAAAUUAGGUCCAGAGUUGAAGUUCCCCUAAUUGCUUCCUCUACCAUCUGGGAGAUAAAAUUGUUACCAAAGUGUGCAACUGCUUAUAUUCUCUUGGCUGAAGAGGAAGCAACAACCAUUGCCGAAGCAGAAAAACUAUUUAAGCAGGCCCUGAAGGCUGGAGAUGGCUGUUACCGACGCUCUCAGCAGCUACAACAUCAUGGAUCCCAGUAUGAAGCCCAACAUAGACGAGACACCAAUGUCUUGGUGUACAUCAAAAGAAGGCUAGCAAUGUGUGCCAGAAGACUCGGGAGGACCAGGGAAGCAGUGAAAAUGAUGAGAGAUUUAAUGAAGGAGUUCCCCCUUCUGAGUAUGUUCAAUAUCCAUGAAAACCUUUUAGAAGCCCUUCUGGAACUACAAGCAUAUGCUGAUGUUCAGGCAGUCUUAGCAAAGUAUGAUGAUAUAAGCUUACCAAAGUCAGCAACAAUAUGCUACACAGCUGCUUUGCUCAAAGCAAGAGCUGUUUCUGACAAAUCGCCAGUACCUACUGCAACAUCUUUUCUCCCUACACAGCGACUCCAGCUUGGGAGGGCAGGGCCAGGGUUGUCACAGCUUCCCCUGUGGUGUCUGCCUGCCAAGCACAGCUCUGGAGUUAGCCCUGGGUGUGAGAUUCUCUCCUGAGGCUGCAUCUCGGCGGGGGCUGAGCACAGCAGAGAUGAAUGCAGUAGAGGCCAUUCAUAGAGCUGUGGAAUUCAAUCCUCAUGUGCC
RNAcentral lists this small RNA (1677 nucleotides) under Pongo abelii (Sumatran orangutan). RNAcentral describes it as "processed transcript". The stretch from base 1443 to 1579 matches the Rfam family "ST7 overlapping transcript 3 conserved region 2". Lineage: Eukaryota; Metazoa; Chordata; Mammalia; Primates; Hominidae. The record is from RNAcentral.